This is a long non-coding RNA of Aricia agestis (brown argus), 90 nucleotides long. RefSeq lists it as uncharacterized. The record is from RefSeq and is a predicted model, not a curated record. NCBI's taxonomy places the organism in Eukaryota, Metazoa, Arthropoda, Insecta, Lepidoptera, Lycaenidae. The transcript has 3 exons.
AUCAAAUGAGACCAAAAUCAUAAUUUUCGGUGAAUGAGAUCAGGUUUUGAGGAAAAUGGCACUUGUUAUUUACACUGCUAGUACCUAAAU